AUGACUAGCAGCAGUCUUCUCAGAAAAGAUGUCAAAAAUAAAGAAAUUAGGAGUAUAACAUUUUGGUGACACAACAUCUACAGAACAUGUUAUGCAAGACUUAGGCGGAGAGAAACUUGAUCCACUUGAAGAUGCUAGAAUCACUGAAUACCUCUUGACUGAUGUCAAGGUGCUAUGCAUCAUCUCACAUGAUCACAUUGAACCUGAGUUCAAUGAAGGGUCACAGUCUUUCCUUUUACUUUAUGGAAAACUGGAUCUGGAUUUUAGUGGGGCUUUCCAUUAGUGACCUCUGACUAAUUUAGGGUAUAUAGUGUUGAGAGUUAUUUGAAAUGUAUUUAUAGCAAAGUAAGUAAGUAGAGCUACUGAUUGCACACCCCAACUUAAAACCCAACAGUCCUAUGAUUUAGGCUAAUAUAAUACACCAUUGGAAGCUGAUUAUUUUCGCUAGUUAAGCCAUAAAGCUGCACUUAAAUAUGAAUAAUAAAAAAAUGGACUAUUAAUAAUAAUUAUUGCAAAUGUCACUGAUUUCAGAUUAUAAAACUUAAUAGACUAUCACCAUUAAAACAUGUGCUCUCCAUAAUUAUGCUGUGUACCAACUUGUGCUUGAUUCUGUCUUUGUGAGUUAUUUCAAUGCUCCUUUCAAAGCUUAUGGAAAAUUUUCUUUAAAGAAGAAAACAGUUGUUUUAUAGGCAGCUUGGGAGGGUUUUAAGGGAAGAACCCUUUUCUGUUCAAGGCUUUUUGACAGAAUCAAAAUAGAAGAAAAAUCUAAAUAUUUUCCUCACUGUAAAUAUCUGUGUUACCGACCCCAGGGCUCGGUACUGGGGCCGGUCCUCUUUAACAUCUUCAUCAAUGAUCUGGAUGAGGGCAUUGAGUGCACCCUCAGUAAGUUUGCAGAUGACACCAAGCUAGGUGCGUGUGUCGAUCUGCUUGAGGGUAGGAAGGCUCUGCAGGAGGAUCUGGAUAGGCUGCACCGAUGGGCUGAGGUCAACUGUAUGAAGUUUAACAAGGCCAAGUGCCGGGUCCUGCACCUGGGGCGCAAUAACCCCAAGAAGAGCUACAGGCUGGGAGAGGAAUGGCUGGAGAGCUGCCAGGCAGAGAAGGACCUGGGAGUGAUGGUGGACAGUCGGCUGAAUAUGAGCCAGCAGUGUGCUCAGGUGGCCAAGAAGGCCAACGGCGUCCUGGCUUGUAUCAGAAACACUGUGACCAGCAGGGCUAGGGAGGUGAUCGUCCCCCUGUACUCGGCUCUGGUGAGGCCGCACCUCGAGUACUGUGUUCAGUUCUGGGCCCCUCGCUACAAGAAGGACAUCGAGUACUGUGUUCAGUUUUGGGCCCCUUGCUACAAGAAGGACAUCGAGGUGCUUGAGCAGGUCCAGAGAAGGGUGAUGAAGCUGGUGAGGGGUCUGGAGAACAAGUCCUACAAGGAGCGGCUGAGGGAGUUGGGCUUGUUCAGCCUGGAGAAAAGGAGGCUCAGGGGCGACCUUAUUGCUCUCUACAGAUACCUUAAAGGAGGCUGUAGCAAGGUGGGGGUUGGCCUGUUCUCCCACAUGCCUGGUGACAGAACGAGGGGGAAUGGGCUUAAGUUGCACCAGGGUUUUUUUAGGUUGGAUGUUAGGAAGAACGUCUUUACCGAAAGGGUUGUUAGACAUUGGAACGGGCUGCCCAGGGAGGUGGUGGAGUCACCAUCCCCGGAAGUCUUUAAAAGACAUUUAGAUGUAGAGCUUAGGGAUAUGGUUUAGUGGGGACUUAGUGUUAGGUCAGAGGUUGGACUCAAUGAUCUUGAGGUCUCUUCCAACCUAGAGGUUCUGUGAUUCUGUGAUCAUCACCAUGACUGUGUAUUCCUGAAGGGAAAUAAUGGUUAUAAAUAUAGCCCAAGAAUGAAACCAAGCUUAAGUGAUUUGUA
Molecule: long non-coding RNA, 1900 nt
Filed under: Anas zonorhyncha (Eastern spot-billed duck)
Lineage: Eukaryota; Metazoa; Chordata; Aves; Anseriformes; Anatidae
Description: lncRNA (ENSAZOG00000001456.1)
Source: RNAcentral